GCUGAAAGCCUAGUGGAUAACAAGAACCGAACCUGGGCAUAUGAUACUGGCAUCGGGGCUAACAAUACCGUAACUAAACCCUGGGGAUUCAGCAGUGCCCAACAAGACUCUUACUUAGCAUGUAACUCAUAGGUAAAAAGAAUAAAGAGCGGAACUCGUAUCAGCCCCUUAUGACUAGGGCCAAGCAAGAUAGAAUACGCAUAAGACAGUGAGACUAGAGCUUUACCUGCCCGAUAUCCAUGAAUCCUCUCUGGAAAGAAAGAAGAACGGCCUAUUCCGCGAGAUCCAAUCAUAUCUCUCUUUCUCUAUCGAAAGAAAGCCUAGUUACUUGAGUUGAAACAAUAGAAUUAGCCGAGGCUAUCCCAGUUCCAGUUUGGCUAAACGAGGAAAGUGUGUUUUUGGCAUAAAUCUGUCUUCUUCUUUAAACCAACCCGGAAACUAUUCCUUAUAGAUUGAGUUUUCCUACUAGACUCUUGACUCUAAAGUUCUCCUAUUAGAUGAGUUAAGUAUUUGAAGUGAAGCAGGCUUAAAAGGUGGAAGGGCUAGGCUUGCUACUGGGGUUGCCAAUAUGAAAGAGCUCCGCCUUUAUGACCUAUCUAAGUAAAUGAGCUUGCGAGGGAUCGAGCCCUUCUAUGGAUAAUUAUGUAUUAAGUAAAGUAAUAGAUGCGCCUUUCUACUAUAACCUCCAAGACCCUUAAAUUGCAGGGCCCCUAACGGAUUCAAUGUUACCUGGGAUCAAAUCCUUCCUAAAUGAAUUUCCUCUGGAGCUGGGUUCUUUCCCUCCGAAAUCUCUUUUUAUUGGCAACUGGAUUAGGCGUUUCCAUCUCUCAAACUAGAAGAAAGCGCUUUUUCACUUAUAAAGAAGGGAGCAGGUUAACUUGUAAACGGCAAGUCUAGGCUUGCUUCGCUCCAUUUCCCGUAAGCUCGUGAGGCGCCCAGUUAUUACGAUAGGACUCGUUGGUGACUGCUUUCUCUCUUUUAUCAGUGACUUGACAACAGACACCUAAUAACCUAUAGUUACUAACACUGUAUGAGCUUCCCUAUACUUCAAAAAGAGAAAAGGAUUAGCAUCUGAACUAAGCUGGUGAUUCAAGCGCAUCCCAUGCCUCCACUAGUAAACCUCCAUCCUCUAUCGCUGCUUCCUAUCUAAGUUAAGGCUUUAAUUGAACCAUUUUUCUCUCUAUGGGUUAGGCGGGCACAUCCUCUAGGAGGCAAAACCACAUAAGUAUUGCAUCUGUACGGAACAUGGCUCUGCACAAAGCUGGCCUCAAGACUGCACACCGCCCAUUUUGGAAGAGAAAGGUAACCACCCAGAGUUGUUUCCGGAUUCGCUCUGCCUGACUUCGAUCUAUCAGACCUCGUUCUCGUUGUAAAGUGUUUCAAAAAGAGCAAUUGGUUCCUAGUGCAAACGGACGGAUUGGGGCAAGAUUUGUAGGCUAGGCUCGGACAAGGUUAGGAAGGGCGAGAAGGAAGAGAGCUACUGUCGUCUGUUCUGUUCUCGUGCCUAAGCCAAUUAGGAAUUUGGACCUUUCUUUAGGUGGGGUAGUAUAAAGCAUACCAUCUAAAGAGGCUGGAAAGGAAGAAAUAGGUAGUAUAAAGCAUACCAUCUAAAGAGGCUGGAAAGGAAGAAAGAAAGAGCAAAGAUAAUCCUAUAUUGAAAGAAUUGGUUCCACCCGAUGGUACCUCAUUUCCUUUCGAGUUAACUGCAUGGGAUCUUUUCAUACGAGCUUCUGUUUUUUCUGUAAGAAGAAAAGAAGACCGAUUACGAAAGCACUAGCUGCGGCAACUGCUGGAUACUCAUACUUAAGCUCCGGAUACGAUCACACCAACAAGGACUAGCACUAGAUAUGUGAACAGCGUAUGAUGAUUCACUAUCAAACACAGAGGGCAUGAGAUUUCGAAAAGAGUGGAUUCGACGGGAUAUUCAAUCUAUACCUGGCGCAUUGACUCAUUCCAUCUAAACGGGAUAUUCAAUCUAUACCUGGCGCAUUGACUCAUUCCAUCUAAUAAGACGAAAGAAAGACACCUGCACACGAUCGAAAGCAAUGAAGGCUAAGAGCAGAUUCUAAAAGACCGCGUAGUUAAUAGAAAUAUAGAACUGGGACAAUACACUACUAAUGUGUAGCGGCAGGGCCAAGCAACGUAGUUAGUUGCGCGGCAGUCGGCCAAGCAACGAUUACUGUUGCGCGGCAGCCAAUAAGAAGUAGUGAAUAGUUAUAACCAAGUCCUUAGUCUUAGAACGCUAGUGAGUUAUGAGAAAGACCCCUCUCCACUUUGAAAGACCUUUGUUAGGUCGAAGAGCUAUUUAUAUUAUGGUGUAAAUAAAGAAACCCAUGAUUAAUAGAAUGACAAACUUUAGUAAUUCCUUGAAUUGGAGAAAUGAAAAUGUUAGAAGAUUGAUCUUGAUUACUCUUAGUAUGGCAGAUAUUCCUGUAUAAAUGAAAACUUGAAACACUGGUAUAAGUAUAAGAAAAGGCCCUAUACGUAAUUGCUAGCGCAUCUAUAGGUAUGAUAGAAUCUGGAACUAGCCGGCGUGCUCUUUCCUUCCCUAGUGUUCUUUCCUUUAAGUAAGAAUUCCACCCUAUGGCUCUGUGCUUUUGUAGUAGUUGGCUGCCGCGCAACAGUAGGAGUGAGUUCAAGUUAUAACCAAGUCCUGUGUGCCGUUUACAGCCUUGCCUUAACUUACCUUCAAGCUGUGUAGGAUGCGCUCAAUUCUCUUUUUGAGACUCCAUUCUCCUCUUUAGACUCAAUUCGAUUCUUUUGGUUGUAUUCUUAAGCUUCUACUGCAGCAGAUCAAGAUCUAUAUGAUUCUCUCGACGCAGCUUAUUCUCUUGCAACAACAGUUGGACCAGGAAAACAAGUAAUGGAACUUUAUAGCGCAGAAGACGAAAACAAGACUUCCGACUCUUGAAAGGCUGGAAACCAAACUAGUAACUACUAGACGCCAAGAUACAUAGUAAGUAGACAAAGGCUUGAAUCGGGCCAAGCUACGUAUACAAAGGCAAAGAGAGAAAGAAAGAAACAUAAUAAUGUAUUAGUAGCAGCUGUUACCAAGUCUCUCCUCCGAGUCCUGUGCCACUUAUAUAUCUGCUCCCGGGGUUUGGUGAAAACGGAUUGUAUGCAGCUGCUUCCCCCAUUUCAUCUUUGAUAACGGAAUGCGGAUCAUCUACUUCAUAAGCUAGAUCAGGUACAGGUAAAGGGGUUUAAGCGGCAGCUGUUCUCUUCUCUUCUUGCCUACCCGAACUCUACUCUCACUGAGUCUGAUCCAUAUCUUUCAACUUUACCUUGUAGUGGGCAUUUGCCAAGAACAGAAUAAUACUUUUAGCUUGCAGUUGACUUCCGCACUCGACUUGAAGAACCGAUUGCACCUGCUAUUGUUCUUGCUCCGGAAACUCGUUACGUGGCAGAUCCAUAUCACUUAUUUCCUUUUCUCUCUCUUGCUUAGCGCCCUGGCCUUUGAACUAGUUUAUGCCCCCACCCCUACCUCUCCUGGAAGUUAAGAAUUCAUUGAUUCUUUGUUUCCGGCUUCAGGGCGUUGUGGUCCAGGAAAGGUUUCGUUCUUGGAAUCAGAAUAAGAUUGAUAAGAUAAGUAUUAGGAUAAGAAUAAGAUGCUAUCCAACUGACAUCGUUCUUGUUCCCCGACUGGGUAUGAGAGAUGUGGGUAACAAACCGAGUCCUCUGAAACAAUAAAUACAGAAUUCCAACUUCAAACAAACAUAAGAAAAAGAAGAAUUAGCUACUAGUAGAGGUAUGAUAGAUACCGGUAACCCACAAUGUGCUCUAAGGUGACUCGGCUCGCUAACGCUUCAGACAGGUGCUGAAAGCCUAGAAACUACACUAGAAACUCCCCCAUACAUAGUUGUUAGUGCUGCAGAAGUAUCGUCUCCUUAGGUAUUUCUCGUAGAUAGAAUCCAGAUUGAAGUGAAGCUGACCCCUGACUUGCAGCAAUGAACUAUCUUACGCCUAACUAGAAGAUGGAAAUUGGACUCUCGAGCAGGCGUUUGCGUUACCUAACUUUCUCCUGUAUAACAUUGCCUCUCAUCGACCUUUUGAGUUGAGUUCGUUUCGGGGUUAACACUUAUUGGAGUGGUGCUUGAGUUUCUUGUCUAGUCGUUGCUUGUUGAAUACAACUGGUGCUUUUACUUGAUCUUUAUUGUAGUAAAGAAAGAAACUGUGCCUAACGAAACUAACUAGCAACUGGGCUACCAACUGCGUAUUAAGAGACUUCAACUAGGAACUUCUACUUUAACUAGUACUUCUCGGGAUGGAACUGAUGAAAACAAGGGCAGUAAGACCUAUAUGUUAAGAAGGGGCUAUGGACUGAAAGCAAAGAGGACAGCUUUGGAGUCGAUAGUGGAUUUCCCGGUUGUGAGUGGCAUUCUUCCUACUCUUUUAGUGUCUUCAGUCUUGGUAUCAGUGAUGCAAUCCAAGUUGUAAGUAGCGGUGGGCCGAGACAUUAGUUAAUAGGGCUGGGCAUGUCCCCACAGACUUCAGGCUUUUGGGCGGUAAUGUAGGUUUUGCAGCCAGUAGCGGCAGUAUGAUAAGCACUUUUUUCAUUUGAAAGAAGCCGAGUAAAGAUCCGGAUCUGAGUUAACAGUUAUUAAAGUACUAGAAGCGGUAAUUUCUUCUGUUGAUUGAUAUGCGUGUUUUCAUAUGAGAUUUUCUACUACCAUUGGGCUUUAACUGUUACCAUUAGAAUGAGACUCACCCUACCUACUCUAUUAGAGUGAAAUUACAGGCUAUCGGACUAUCACCUGUAAUGAGGAAUCUUACUCAUAAGUGUGAAUUGAAACCGGGCAUCCAAGAGCGAAAGUACCAAUCACCGACGGAGUAUACAGGAAUUGAGCUAAGCUUAUACUAUAAGAAUAGAGCAGCGGGCAAACGGACUAUAACAGCUAACUAUAAGCCUGCCGCUACUGACUUUGACUCUUACUUAUUAACUUGAAUGUAAUAGACUGGACUGAUAAAGACAAUAAAAGAAAUAAUAAAGUAUACCGGGCAUAGGCACUUAACUUAAUUAGUAUAGUAAUGAGUUGAACACACGAUAAGGAAACUCAAAACUCAAGUAGAGGAACCGGGCCCUGUAGUACUAACCUAACCUUUGCGCUUAAAACGGAAGCUAAUGCCUUAAAUGCCCAUCCAUGUUAGAGUUUUUGUAUUCCACUCGUUAGUUGCACCCUUGCUUAUGAGUUAGGGCCUACCGCUCUUUGCUUUCCAACCUCAACUCCCGUUUCUUACGGAAUUUAUUGCUUAUUUAUUUGUCUACUACUUGCUUCAAUGCCUAUGUUUACUCGAUAUAUGAAAUUCCACUCAUUAGACGGAAUGAAUGUGUUUUCUUAUACUUAUAUUAGUAGAUUAGUAUAGAAAAGAAGUAAAUACAAAUGAAUGAAGAGAACUAACUCAAUGGAUUUGAAGAAUUAGAUAAAGUAACUACGGGACUAACAAGAAAUGAAGUAGUGCCGACAACACUUAUCCCGCUAACCUGGAAUUAAAUCCAUGGUACAGUAUACCGUGCCUAGCUCUAAGGCGUUGAGUCAAAAAAAAAGAGAGACUUUACCACCUACACAAGCAAGAGACAGGCAGUGAGUUGGCAUACUCAAACUCGAGCAUAAGAUACGAACAUCGCCCCCAACGAAUUAGACAAAUUAGGGAAAUAGAGUCUUAGAAGCAGCAGCUACAGUCUUAGAAGCGGUAGUGUCAGUCUCAUAUGCCCCAGUUCUGUUAUCAUAGUCAGCAUAAGGAUUACCUUAUCCAUAUUUCAAGUCUUAGAAUACGUAGAGUAAGCCUGAGUUACGUGGUUAGGUCUUAUAAGAACUGGUUGUAGAAUGAGAUAAAGCAAUUCAAGAGGGAAUCAAUACUCAAGCAAGUAAGGCUCAUAAGUAGUAAAGCAAGGAUGUCAGGGGCAAAUUCGGAACUGUGGAAAGCCAUUUCAGAAUUCUAUCUAUGAGGUUCGGGCAGAAGCUCUCACUCCAUCCCAAGUGAAAGGCGGGGCCAAGUAACUGCUACAAACACAUAGCAUCAAAUAAAUACGUUAUACCCAGUUAUUCCGGAGUCCUAAUUAAUAGCGGCAGCGCUUCAACUUCUUUUGAGUCCUGUGCCCUUAAUUCAUUUCGGUAAGUCUACUAUAUUCAUUAGUUGGGGUAAGUCUACUACUGGUCAGAGGGGUGUAAGAAGUCACUAACCCAGUACUGUACGUGUUCGUAGGAAAGGCGGAAUUGCACUCUUAUUAUAGAUGAUCGGAGGCCAAGCAACUGUCGGGAUCUUUAUGGUUUUCGAGUGGAUCUUCAGCGGGAAGUAAGAUAGGCUCUUAGCACCUUACUUAUUAAGCCUGGCUUAGAUCUUUUCCUAGUUGACCUGGUCGCCAGCAGCUUGUUUCAAUUCAUUAAGUAUUUGUUGCAAUAGGGGCUUAGAGAACUGGAGAUCAAUAAAUCUACUUAAGGACUGACCGCUGAAGAGGUUUCAUUCUUUCUUAUAUAAGUGAUGAAACGAGGGGUGAUUCAAUGCGGGGCGCCAGCCAAGCCGAAAUGAGCAAAUAUUGGUUUACAGCCCCAACCCCCAGUAGUGGUGCUUUUGAAUCAGUAUUUCUUUCAGUAGUAUCGUAGUCCAGAGCCAUAACUUGAUUUGUUUACAGAGAAGACUAAGGAUCUCUCUUGCUGGUACGAUCUUAGCGCAUUCCUUCUUUCCCACUUUAGAGGAUUUGUAGGCGUUAACACUAGAGGCCCUUAUUGUAAGUUGAGGCAAGGGAAAGGGGGUUGCUUGUUGGAUGAAACACUACCUAAUAGCUUUCACUCGCACUGCUUCUAUAUAAGAUGAAACAAACAGUAGUUAGUUAUUAUGGAGUCCGGCUCUCAUGGCGGCAGGGAUAGUUGAGUCUACAGGUGUUGAGUCUACAGGUGAGGAAGAACAGUUAGAGUUUAGUCUACAGGUGUUGAGUCUACAGGUGAGGAAGCUGGGUUAAGGGCAGUGUCGUCUCUUGUUUCAUCUUAUCUUGUUUAUAAUCUUAUAAUUCUAAAGAAUCAGGGUUAGUUAGGUCGUAGAGAGAAUCACCAGUCCUGUGUUCUGCCAUGCUUUAUCGGUUCCUUGACUUACUGCUCCUUCGCAUACUAAGGUGUUUCCAGGGGGUCAGUUCCAUUAAGUACUUGAAAGUUAUGAUUCUGCUCUAACCAGAUAGUCCAGGGAAAGUGGAUUUCCCAUAAAACGACAGAAGUGAGGUCAGGUCAUUUGCCAUCAAACAAAAGAAGAGGAUUGAGCUCAAUAGUCAAAGGAGAAGUAGGCGCAUACCCGGAAUCAACACCAGAGCAGGAGAGCGUGGGUCCAAGGCUAAGAGAUAUGGUACGAUGUAGUGCAUCUUAGAUAAGAAGAAUAGUAAUACUACCAAUAUAUGAAUAAGAAUAUGGAUACCGAGUCGUAGAAUACAUCCUGGAACAGAGAAAUGCCACCUCCACUGAUGAGAAUGAAAAAACCCAAGUACUAGCAGGAAACUAAUACGCAAUAAACCCCCGCAACGCUGAACUGAACCUCCACGCUCUACGACAAGAGUAGAAACACUGCCAAUAGAACCUUAGCUCGGAACUCCGCCUUUUUCCCUUCUCUUGAAAACCAGAACUAAUGCCUGACAUCCAAACUAGAGCUGCUGAUCCGGACCUUUGCUUUGUAGAUUGAUUCUAACUAUCCGUGCUUUUGGCCUACCCUUACUUCCUUCACUUCUUUAGCUCCCGAACACAGGACUAAGAUCUUAAAGCAGACAACUAGUUCCCGAACACAGGACUUGGCGGUCAUUAUACAAAGCUUGGCGGGGCAAACAACUACUAGAAACUGUCUUUGAGAAUGGAAUGUGAGGUCUGUCCUUAGAAAUCCUUAUAUAUAAGAAGAUAGUGAUUCCCCCUAUCUUGACUUACCCGGUUAACCGUUUCAAAGCACCUUAGAUACUCGUCUAUAGCAUCUCAUCCACCUUCAUUAUGACUUCAAACUAUAACUCCCGGAACUUAACUUGCAGAGCCAAGCAACGUAGUUAGUAGACAAAGGCAAAGAUAGAAGACAAGCCAAUUACCUUUAAUUGAACUGGUAUGGGCAAGGCUGCUACUACUCCCCCAGCUAACCAGACUUUCCUGUCUACUAGGCUACCUCUCCUUGUUUUCAAUCUGACUUGACUCUAUCUCCCAGCUACUGCUUCUAGGGCUUUGCUUACAGGCAUACCCUCCCAAGUUACUGAGUUUGGGACCGCUAACUCAUAUUAUUACUAUAAUGUUGAUCAGCCACCAAGCUACUACUCUUAAUUAGAAUAAAAUACAGAAGUGUCAAGGACUAAACUCUAAACAAGGAAAGUCAGAGUCAAUGCCUCCACCGAGGUAGCAAACAGACACUCACUGAUCUAACUCUUAAGCUAUUAAUAGAAAAUCUGACUUUGCUGUCUCUUAGCUUCUAUGCCUCUACUCCUGAGUCGCAUACUGACUAUACAACCCAGCAGUCUUACAGUAUCUUACACUGCCUGGCCUGACACCACUUACUUCAAUUCUUUAACUAAUGAUCUGGCUCCUUCCCUUUACUAUUCAACACCUAACUUCUGACUUUCAUUCCUAUUCUAUUGUUUCAAACUUCCCUUACGGAUCCAGUCCAGAUCCUUGCUUUCAUUCCCUCCCGCUUACUUUCACACUGCAUCCCUUUGGCCCACCUCAACAUAACUUGCACCCCCGAUUGCUGCUGUCAACUAGAAUACCAUUCCUCUGGCCCGUUGCUUUCCCUUACUUAUAUGAAAGCUGUCUGCUUGGUUGCUCCUUACUUAAAGAAUUGAGUUUACUUACUGCUACUCUGCAGGGGAAACUUUCACAGGUGAUUCUCCUGAUCUAGCUUCUUCACUUGUCGACUUCCCACUGCUGGACUAUACUUCUUUACCCGACCUCUCUACUUCCAUAAAAGACCUCUAUUAAUUGAGUUCCCGAACACUGGAAUAGUAGGCCACUAAUUAAGUAAUAUAAAAGCGUGUUACCCGCCUAGGCACUAUAGAAUAAGGUCACCAACCCAGUGCUCUUUACAAACAAAGUAGGGGGAAGUUGUCCCAUAAGAAGGGUAGGUCAACAUCUUGUCCUGCUUGCUUUAGCUCCUUGUACAGAAUAUGAGUAGAAAACUUCUUCAGCUAGGUUAACUUACGUUCCAUAAGCGGAAGCGAGGUGUGGUACAAAGAAUGGAGUUCCGCUCGCGCUAGGCAAAAGCAGUGUUACCGGAUUCUAUACCUAGUGCUGAGGAGAACCUAUGUUACUCGAAAGAAGCCUAUUCUUCAGCCAACACCUAAGCAGCAUUCAAUUCGAGCUAGAUUCUCUUCGGCUUCAGAUCGUUCUUUUGCAUCGAUUAACCUGUAUGCCUAUAACGGAGCCCAUGUGGCGGUAAAGAAAACCUUAUCUUAUCUAUACUUUAUACUUGAAGUAAAGAAACCCUUGUAGCUCGAACUCCCUUGUAAGUUCCCUUGCUUUAGCACUUGAAGAACGAAUGUCGGCUAACUCCCUAACGCUUGUUGGGCUCACAGGUCUAUACUUCUAAGAUUGAACAACGCGGUUGAAGAAAAGAAGUCUUCUAAAGCAGAGGGGUUAAGUAGAAAGAAUAAGUAUAAAGCAAGUUCUAGUAGAUCUCAUCUCGCCUAUAAGAAAGCCUUACAAAAUAUUAUUAGUCUAUACCGGAACAAGCAAAUCACUUACCAGAAUUAAGGGAAACAGAAAAAUCAACAAGUGGGAGAGUUCCAGGCCCAAGAAACAAGUCUUUUGUUUUCGACAUUAUGUAUUAGUUGCGAAAGUCAGUCAGCAUAAGAAGUUGGAUUUGCAGCUGGAUCAUAAGCAGAAUCAGUAUCUCCGUAAGCCGAUACGACUAAAUAAGGACUUGCUACGGACGUUCCAUAAAUGUAAUCUAUCGAAUAUGGGGUUAGUAUAUAUAUAAAGAUUAAGUCACUGUGGAGGAGAGUACACUAACUCCUUUUUCACCCGAUAUAGAAGCCGAAUGCCCAGAUUCAGUAUAAGCAAGAUCAGAAAGAAUGGGAGUGAGGAUCGGAAGGCUGACAUGUUGUCCGUGGAUAAAGGCAUAUAGAAAAUCCAGCAAGGUUCGUAGGGGGAGUGAAGCAGGAGACCUCGGGCGUGUGAGACCUUAACGCGCAACAGGGAAAUCCACUACUAACUAAUAGCCUGGCAUUACUACCAAUAAGACUAUAGUUCGAAACUGGUACUUCCCCGACCGACCUCUAGCCCUCAUCUCUUGUCUAUACGCCUUACUGCAAGGGCACAACUAAUACCUGCUCCUAAGAGUAUUGCUCUCGACCUGUAAUUGCCGCUAGCUGCAGCUCCUGGCUCCAAAGCAGUUCCGUAUCUAAGCCUCCUGCGACUGACUUUCAUCCUAUAUCCACCGCGACCUAUACUUUUAACUAGAAACAAGGGGCCCAACAACGAUAACAAGAAGAGGCCCUAUAGGAAUAAAGAAUCCUACUAGCGCUUUUCACUCUUUCACUACAGAUCCGGGUCCUGACUUACUUGCUAAAGAGAGCUCAACUUACUACUAUAAGAAAUUCAUUACAGCUUCUCGGACUGCCAUGCCAAGUAACUGAUAGACAAGCAGACAAGAGUGACUUCUAACUCGAGCAGGACUACUACUACUGUACUGGUCAACUAAAGAAAAGAAAUAAGAAAUCCAAGAAAUAAGGACUAGGUAAGGUUGCUAAGGUGAAGAAGCCUAGUAGCAGCAGUAAAGGCCUUAUUGCUAAGGUAUAAUAUACUUACUUGCCUAGGAGCUAAAUGGAAUCCCUAUCUUUUGAACCUGAUCCAGCAUCUGCUCUGGUGCACUUUCCUCUUACGGGUGAUGAAACAACUAAUGAAGGUGCUGAAAGCCACUCGAAACCGAGGAAUAAAGAAUUGCGGAAUUCCCAACCGGGUAGUCCAGGUUAUAAAGUAAGGUCGGUGUUGGCGAUUGAUUAGUUCAACAAAGGGUACCUCUAUUCCAUGCGUGGUUGAUACCUUUGACUUGUAGUUGGGGCAGGGCAGAUUGCCUAGUUGCUGAGGCCUUGUAGCUCAGGAGUUCAAUUAUUAGUAAGGGGGAUAGGUAGCUUAACCAGCACAGGAGCAAGCCAGCGGACAAGCAACGUAUAAAUCAUGAAGCACUUAACGUGAGCGGGCAGGUGACUUUACUCGAUUCUUUUAUUCCCUUCACUUUGGUAGAGCAGAGCCAGAGCCUAUACUUUCAAGGAAGCACUAACGGGAGUAGUUGACUCAAUAAGUUCACCUUAGCUACUACGGAAGGGAAGGUAGAAAACUCAAGAAUCAAACCGGUCCUAUAGUAUCUCUAGUUUCGGAUCAGGAGUAGCAAGAGGAGUCACUUUAGUGUUUGCCUAUAAGAAGAGAAAUUCACCUUGCUAUUUAGUUUCGGGGGGAAGUUCGCCAAAGCCACUGUUAGGUUUUCUUACUAGGUUAUACUACUGCCCCAAUAGAUGAAUUCCUACUACUCGGCUCGGGAUGAAACAAGAACUGGUCGGAAUCCUAGUUUCAAAUGCACUAUCACAGAACUUAUAGUGACAGGGGCAGAGGCACGGGAAGAAAGCAAAUAAGCAGUUUCAAGAUCUAAAGGAGGAUUAGAGGCAAGAUCAGAAGCACUAGAAAGUCAGUCAAUUCAGUCUUCCUCACCCCGGCCCACAAGCACUCGACCAAGUACUGAAUUAAGCGUAUGUGCUCUCUGUGCAAAUACUAGGUUAAUACUAGGUUCUGGGUUCAGGUAAGAAUCAAUGCCUUCUUCAGCAGCCUUAAUAAGUAAAAGGGGUUGUUAGAAAGGAAGAAUGGAAAUAGGCGCCAUCCCGAGUUGAUAACUUAUUAUUUAGGGCUUUUCACCCCUGAGUUUCAUCGUAUCUAGAGCUAGAGGCAGACUGCCCUUGACUAUUAAUUGGUAGAUGAGAGGUACCUGCUAUGGUUCUUGUUCUUGUUGUUGGCAAGAUAAUAGAGGUAGUCGGGCUGUUCUAUAUCACUAUUCUAAAGAUAAGAUAUAAUUUCUAUGGACCAAGCAGCCCUAAUAAGUAAGGGCAAGACACCACUAGACAAGCUACUACUACAAACGCAAGACUCGGAAUUAAUGCAUUAUAACUCAUUAUUAUGAAGUCCUGUAUUCAAGGCGUCAGCGAGUUCUAGUGGCGCGGUAGCAACAUUACUGCUAGCGCAUCCAGUAGAAGAAUGAGAAUGGAAUUAACCAAUCGCAUCAAAGCCAGUCCAGUACUUGACCUCGCAGCAAAGCAAGAAUACCAUUGGCACCACCGAAAAUAGAUUCUAGUAUAGCAAGUAAACCACCCUAUGCCUAUCCAUACGCGCCUCCCCUCGUAUUGGAAUGAAGAGUUGCGUUGUUGACCCUGGCUUUCCCUUAGAGUGCUUUUCUUUCCCUUGUAGUGGUCUAAGUCGUAACCGCUGUAGCUCGCAGGUGAGAUGAAGUCAAAGUUUUCAAGUUUAGUAUCUACUAGAAUAUGGUAAAGAAUAAUCAUCAAAUACUGGUUAUAAAGCGGGAAGUAAAGGUUAGGGGGCCAAGUUGUAGAUAAGGCUCUUAGCACCUUUUUGCGUCCGCGGGUAAACUCAUCUUUAUGGGUGGGUGUCGUAGAGAGAGGUUCACGUGAUUGACUUGAAUCAUUUAUUGAAUCAUAGGAUUCAUCUGCGCUAACUGCACUAACUGCACUAACAUUUGUUGUUGACGGUAAGGGAAGUGCCCACUACAAGGUUGAAGAAUCAAGGAAGCGGGAAAGAAAGGUAGUUAACUAAAGUAAGCAAGCGGUAAAGACAUCAGUGUCAAAGCAGUUACAAGAAUAAGUGGUGUUGUCUCAAAGAAGAGUCGCUAAGUUGCUGUCUAGUGGAUCUCCGCCUAAUAGAACCUUUUCUAUGACUAAAGGAAAAACCUACAUAACUGACCAUAGUAUACUUAUUGGAUUGAUAUCCCCUCCAUUGUAUACUUAUGGGAUUGAUAUCCCCCUAGGAAAGGUACUAGAGAAAACUAUGACUAGCCCUAAGGAAAGGUUACUAGAGAAAACUAUGACUAGUCAAAAAAAUGUUAACUAUUCACUUUUCUUUCUUCAAGCACUGGAGCUUUCGUUAGAACUUGAACUGGGCAUCCGCCAUGGAAUAGCCCUAUCUAAAUUCCUUUGAAAAUACGCUAUCUGGACAAUUCCUCUUGACUUUAGUUGAAGUUCAAUCAGAAACUUAUUAAGGGACAUGUAAUCAGUUGAGUUCAAUCAGAAACUUAUUAAGGGACAUGUAAUCCCAUAGGAAAACCAUUCAUAAUUCAUUAUCGGGUGGGUACAGCUUUUUCAAUCCAAAAACACUCCAACUCUAACCAUUAGUUUCACGAUGUUACUCGCCAAGCUACAUUGUAAGUAGCGACCAAGCUUAGGGACAAACAACUACUAAUGACCAAGCCAGAGAAGGAGAAGAGUGCAUUCUGUAUUUGAAGCCUGAGUUAUAUGAGCCAGAGGUAGAUUAGAGUCCGGGUUUUGUGCCUUAAGUUGGUAAUGUCACUUCUUGUCCCGCUUCCUCACCUGCUCUUUUCACUGAAACUAUACUUUAUGAAAAGGAAUUCAUUGAAUCUACCUAACACAAUAUGGAAGGGGUAAGCAUCUCAGCUGACAUCUUAUUGAAUAUAUGGAAUCGCUACUUUCCUGUUCGUCAAGCAUUAACCUAGCAGUAGGGCCUGUUUGAAGUGAAUGAAGUCAACCUUUCAUAGUGAAGAAGUCAACCAUGACUUGAUUUCUGAAUGAACGUUAGUUAGCACCCCGCUCUGUGGGUCAAUAAGCAUUAGCGCCCCUUAAAAACCAGAAAGAAAGAAUUCCAUUUAGCUAGCUUCAUAUAGAACUGAGUUCAGAAAACACCUAUUACUUACUGCUGGCUCUGCUCAUCCCUUGAAUAGAGUAAUAACACCUAUACAAUACUGCUGGCUCUAAAUCAUUGAAUUGAACUGACUUCAUAUAGAAUCUAGUAUACUCACUGCUUUGCUUGCGGACUCCUGACUCACUGUUGACUUAGACGGCUUCCCUUUGACAAUGUAUGAUCUAUGAACUUCCAGAAAUGAAUCGCAACCCUGAUGAGCUUUCUUUCAUAUUUGUUGCAUAUCUUAACCCCGCUGCUCCCGUAAGCGCGCAAUAAACAGGACUUGCUCUUGCCUUCAACUCUCAAUCAGGGUCGAGCAAACAAACCUUGUGAGUUCUGUUGCCGCAAAGGGGAAGUCUAGUGAACCUUAAGAAUGCUUUGGAAGCCGGUAUAGUGAACCUUAAGAAUGCUUUGGAAGCCGGUAAGAUUAAUAAGAAAGGGAAGAGCUGUGUAUUUACUCCGUUCUAUCCAAGGACCGUGUACUCCAUAAUGAUAAUCCAUUCAUGGUUGACUCCGCGCUCUCCACAGAAUCCAUUAUUUCUGAAGCUACUGUUAUCGGUGCUAACUCUCCCCGGGGUGCCCAUCCAUAAAUGGUUGACUUUCCAGGGUGUCCCUAUUUAGCUUACUUUCGGGGAACAAGUCACACUUACUUUACUUGUGCUAACAUGUGUUCUUUGAAUGGAAGAAAUCCCUCUCGCAUAUUAUUGAAUAAGAGAAUUGAGGCUCAAGCAUAAGCCGGAGAAGAAUCAUAAUAAGGAAAGUGUUAUACAGAAAAGGAAGCAGUGCUUGUAAAGUAAACGAGAGAAGAAGUAGUGUCAUCCGUAUAAGGAGCAGGUGAGGAAGUUAGAGUUAAUGAUGGUGCUCCUACUCGGGCAGUUCCACUGUUCUUGUUCUAGGAUCAGAAGUAGGAGAAGUCAAGUCGACAAAAGAUGGAGCUGGAUCUGAAGCAGUGCUAGGAAAGUCGAAGUCAAGUUCUGAGAAAGAAGGAAGUACUGGUGUGGUGGGCGCUAAGCAAGACUCUUACUCGUUAUUGUGAAACAGGUGCUUUCGGGUUGGAUUGGAGUAUAGAGUAGUGCUAGAGCAGCUCUUUUAGUAAGUUGUAACGCAAAGCAAGGAAUAGACUAAUAGAAAUACGUGAUAUAAUGAGUUCUGACAAGUCAAGUCUUUGCCUGCUCUUUAAGUAAGUUGUAAGAAGAAAGUACACUUAGUUACUUCCAAAACAGCUAAACUCAAAAUCCAAACCAAUGAAGAAAGGACUAGUAGUUGCUUGCACUUAGUCACAUUCGCCUGCUUGUCUGGCCAACUCGGUAGGUGCGAGGAUCCAAGCAAGUAUUAGGGCUACCUUACACUUGGGGCUACAGGUAUACCAAGGGACAACCAUCUUUGUGAGUAUCGGUAUUUUCACUAUGAUUUGAGUUCGGGGGUGAUAGAACUCUCUUAAAUACCCGAGCGAUAGGACUCCGGCGGUAUAUGACAUGACGAAUGUCAGGAUUCAUUCGAUUGGGGGCUGGCUUCUCGUAAGCUUCAUUAGCGAUAUCGACGGAUCACCUGCGAGCACCGAUGAAGCUAGAAAAGAGAAAGAGUGAAACGGGUGCAACGACACCAGAUAAGAAAGAAUCUUACCCAUAGAAUAAAAGAAAGGCGCUAAAGUAUAAAGCGGAGUGAAAGGGCACCACAAAUGCAAGGGAAAGACCCGGACAUGGAGCGGGAGAAGGAUAAGAAGUCACAUCAAACCAGAAUUCUCCUAUUUGAUUCAGGCAGUCGUCCAAAGUGGCCUUAGGGACAGGACAUCAUGGAUCGAAUCCCACCCGGUUCGGUUCCAAAACAAGAUAACGGAUCAGCUCUGUGAUCGACAUCCCACUCUUCAUUCAUGAAUAAAGGAUAAAGCGUCGCUUUCAUUACAUAUCAAACCUUGAGAAGACCGACCCGAUCCUCCAGCCAGAAUCGAAUGGUAGUCUAAUUCAGAUAGGUCAGGUUCAUAAACCCUUGUUUUUAUGGUAGAAAGAUGCCAAAAUCAGAAUCAAGAAAAAAGGAUGAUCUGCAGUUUCAUACGACACCGGGGAACUCCAGGAAGGGGAUUAAGGCCAAAAGGGUAUUUCUUUUCAUUCCAUUCAAAAUGCUUAGGUUCUUCCCAUAGGUCUUCGUCACACAGAUCUUGGAUUUGAUAGAGUUUGUUCCUUAGCCUGCUUAGAGAGGAUCGAUUCUCUUACUUGAUACGUUAAAGUAUAGCUGCUACUAUGUUGGGUUUUUCUCUCUUGUUCAGAUGUUAACUCAUGAACUUCCUAGCUUCAUUACCUCCGCCCAAAGAAAGGCUUUCGCAGCUGGGCAUUUUCACUAUUCAAUGAAUAAUAGUAGCUGAUUGUUUAGCCAAUGAUGGAUUUCGCGCUAAGGAAUGGAUCAAAUCACUUCUGACGUUUCCAAUACCGACCUCCCGCUGUUAGUACUUUGACCCCCCUUUUCUUGUUCGAAGUCAAUGAAUUCCUUUCUAUUACUAGAUUAUUGUCGGAAAUGCUUGAAGCGUGUAUGGAUAUUUCCGUUAUUUAGGAGGUAGGUUUUCGGUUUCGCCUUUCCCUUUGGGCUUUCUCUUCUUAUGUAGUUUAAGAUACAACUUGGACUUUUGGAAUGGUAGAAUUCUGUAGAAAAGCUAGUACCUCGUUAGCAUUGCAACAACACGAAUAGAGAGCGAGAUACUGAAAGAAUACUGGAAGACUCUGGUUAGUAGCGCUCUCUCCAAGUGUUUUAAGCGUUUGCCUUGUCUCUUACUUGCAUCUAAAAGCACGAAGUUUUACCCUAAUCUUAUUAUAGGGGGCGUGGGUGGGGAACAAUACUUUUUCUUUUUCUUAUUCUCCCGCUUCUGGUUGAACUCUCACUCCCAAUACAGAGACCCUAGUAUACCUAUUCGUUUUUAAGCCGUGUUCUUAGUUUCCAUGGUCACAGAACUUAUUGAGGUAGCGAAAUGCUCUGAUAAUGCUUUGACGCCUAGAAUCUUGACUUUCUCCCUUCCUGGUAGCGCCUAUCAUUUAGGAAUGUACCUAGAAACUCCAAGUUCAGAAUGGAAUUGCUUCCCGUUAGCACCUAUCAUUUAGGAAUGUACCUAGAAACUAGAAGAGAAGUUCAGCCCAAUAACUCCUGCCGCGGCAGGGCCGCUAGUUCCCGAAAGACUACUUUGAUUUAUCCUUGCUCGGCCCAUACUAUUUCCCUACUAAAUGAAGUAUUUAUCUUAUAUUAGGAUAAUGUUUAGAAAGACCGAGCAACUACUGUUCUUGUUAGAUUGGAAUUCCGUAUUAGUAGUGGUAUGGUCCAGUGGGGUUGGUGCUCUAGCUCUAAGUCAUAGGGGUAGGUUUUUGGUAUACAAGUCCUGUCUUCGUAGAUGUUUUCACGGGUCAGGUCGGUCAGGUUUCUCAUUCUAUUGGGAACACAUAUGCUAGGACUUCCUUUAGCUUUGAUUCUGUUUUCUUGUAUCGGUUUAUUUCAGGCAUCUCUAUUAGAAGCUAGUCUUUCCAUUAGGGCUGCAUUCCCAUAUUCAAGGCAAGGGGAAAGCUACAUAAGAAAAGCAUGCUUCGGAGAGUUUUGAUUCAAGGCAGAAAUGUCAAAAAAGUCAAAGAACCCUCCCUUCCCGCAAGAAAAAUCCAUAAGGCUAGGCUAUACCGCACGGGAUUUGCAUUCCCAUAUAUCUCGACUCUCGCCUUCAACGGACAGCAGAGAGGGGCUUUUUGAUUGAGGUAAAGAUUAAACACUAUUACUCUAGAUUAGAAUUGCUUGCGGUAAGGUAAGCUAAGCAUAGGAUUUACCCGGGAAUGCAACUGAAAACUACCAGAAUUGACUACUACACCCGAGGACCCAAACGCAUAAGUAAGCCUGCCACCAUGCCCUUGAGCCCGCCCUUCCUAUCCAAUUAAUAUUCUUAUACUAACUGAAACUAUCACUACCUUUACUUGGAUUUUGAAACAGCUAAUGAAAAGACUGCUAUGCCUAUUGGUCUAUCCUAGAUUACUUAUAUUAUUUCAUUCAAUAAAGAUCUCUAACCUUGCUUUACAAGCUAUUGGUCUUACUAUCCUGGCUUUUGUCCUGUAACUAGUGACUUGGAUUUGCAUACCCUUGUUUGAAUUCUUCGACGACUAACUAUUAUAAUGUAACUAGGGCAUACGAGCCCGGCACUACUUGUUUUAGGCUAUUGUUAUUAAGAAGGAGGCUAUGGGGUUGUGUUGGAGAGCACGCCGGUUUGGGUAGUGACUACUUGAAUACUACGUUACUUAGCUUUGGGGAAACAAUUCUUCUAUCACUUAUGAGAACCAAUGAUUCUAUUACUUGGCUUUGGAACCAAUGAUUCUAUUACUUGGCUUUGGAACCCAUUCUGAUAUUGAUAUUACUAAAGACACCCACGAAGCGGUAACACGACAUCUGAAAUUAGGAACAUAUGACACACACCUACCCACGGGAGAAACAAACACAUCUAGUAGAGUGGGCCGGUAACUCAUUAUUUAAGUGGAGCCGAUCAUUCACCCAUGCUACGAAGGUCCCGGGGCAUAUAAAGUACCUCGGUAAUUCAUUGAAGGGCCGGGCAACGAGGUUAGGUCAACUGGUCUAGGGGUCGAGCAACAAUAAAUGUAUGCAGGAAAACACACUCUUCGAGUAGGGUCACUCGGUCUUUGGGGAGCACAACUCCGUCUAAGAGGAAACAAUUGACCGAACACCGGUACAAGAGAUCCAUCGUCAAUGAAAUAGUACUUGCGGGGUUGAUACCACUUGUGGCUAAGCAAAUCGAAGAAAAUACGAAUCAAUCUUAUAUAAGUCAACUUAAUAGUAAUCUUAUAUAAGUCCCACUUAAUAGUGAAUUUCAGAAAGAAAAGAUAGAAUUCCAAUUCUAAGAAGAAGAAUUAUGUUUACCUAACACCGGCACCACCUGCUCUCCAAUGAAAUGAAAAAGUGUUCCCGUUGCUACAAAAAGAGAAUAGAAGUCCCCCUUUUUCGAUCACAUUUACCUAAGAAAAUAGAUUCAAAUAGAAUAUGAGAAAACAUAAGUAACCAGCCAGAAGUAACCAGAAUCAGAAAUAGAAGACAAAAUGAGACCCAUUAAAGAGAGAAUGAAAGCAUGGAUAGUUAGAAUGAGAUCGAGAAAAGGAAGCCAAAGGGACGGGGGGCUUAUUUGAAAUACAGAUAUGAGAUCAGUAGUAAUACAGAUAUGAGAUCAGUAGUGCCGGUCAGGAGUUUCGGAGUUAGAUAAGGGAUCGACAGAGUGCAAGAAGGGAAUGGGAAUGUAGCUAACGAGCAUAGGCCUGUGAACCGGGUAAACACCACUUAGGAUCCGUAUUAGUCCGCUUGUCACCGGUUCGAUUCUUUUAGUUAGUAGUUACAGGACAAAAGCCAGGAUAGUUAGAAUCAAAGUGAGCAGUGGUAGUGUUGGAGUUGGGAGUUACAGGCCAAUAGGUGAAAUACAUAUUUUUAUGCCGGGGUGAAAGCCUGGGGUCCAAGUUCAAUCUGAUAGUCAAAAGAGGUGCACUAAAGUCCUAGAAGCAGUAAAGUAAUAUCGAUAGGGUCAAAUCUGAAUCAAAGGCUAGGGUUGCAGAACGAGAGACAGGAAAGGUAGUCUUUUCGGGAGUAGUUGGUUUCCGAGUUGCUUGUUUCAAUCUUGUUACCCAGGCAGUAAUUCCUUAUUCUAAGAUCAAGUAUGAGAAGCGCUGACUCAAGUCAGAAUCAAAGACAACCUUGGUAUCGGUAGCUAAAGCCUUUUCAUUUUCUUAUUUUAUGAUGUUUAAGUCUCCCAUGAUAACCCAUAUAGAGAGUUAGUGCUUGAUGAUACCAUCGCCAAAGCUCGAUUCUUUCCAGCACAGAAUGAGAAUAGAAAUCCAAUAGAGAGCCCGGGCAUACUGCUAUAUGAGAAUGAGCUGUCUUUGUAUUGGAGUAUAAAAUGUAUAAGAUUGGAGCACUUUCUUGCUCUUUUCUCCUUUUUUUCGACAUGAGUUGGGCUAACGGGACAAGGAGUUUUUUCAGGUUCAAGUCAAAAGGGUCUUAAUCCAAUGGAGAAGAUAAGAUUCCCGGCUAAAGUGCUAGUUCCUGUAUUUGCUGAUGACGAAGAAGGCGAGGUAAGGAAAGCAAACUAAAGAGAAGCGUGCAGGAUCAAUCAAACUGUGAAAAACCUUAUGCUCACAAAGAAAAGGUCAUGGGUUUUGUCGAGACAAUAAAAGUGUGUGGGAAAGAUCAUAUCCAUCUAGGGGCUUCAGCCUCCUUUCCUGAGCGCUAUGCUCAUUAUUAGUAUCUUGAUUAGUUUCAAUACACCUUCUCUGGAAGUGUAUUAGUUUCUUUUUGAUACCUUCUCUUGAGGAGCCUUCUCUUCCUUCGGCAAACAAGCUAAGGCUUUCGGGAACAGAACUCACUGCUUUCUCAUCAAAUAGAUUGUAUACUGUAUCCUAGAAUAGAAGCUAUGUCCACCUCAUCAAAUAGAUUGUAUACUGUAUCCUAGAAUAGAAGCUAUGUCCACCACCCCAUACGACUAAUACUAAAUAGAGAGGGCCUCGUGGUUCUCGACCAGUUACAUCUGCUUCGCCUGCUCGUCAAGAUAUUACAUUAAUCUAUUCGCUGUUAUUUGAGCAAGGAGUUGGGGCACACAAUAAGUUCCAUUGUACUGCAAAUGGAAGAAAUCAUUCUCACAAAUAACGGGAAGAAAUCAUUCUCACAAAGAUCAUCCACAACUAAAGGUACUGCGACGCCUGCUUGAACUUCUGCCCCUCCUGUUGUCUCCGUUGCUAUGGGGUUGUCCUCCGCACCAUCUCUAUCUGUCCAACUAAGGUGUCACUGGACUUAAUAAAGCUACUUAUACCUAACCUUGUCCAAGCUUGAUCUUCGACCGACCUCUAUCGCACUUAUUGUUAUUUUAUGGAGUUGCCUCGAAUAAUAUGACUGGUAAUGGCUGGCUCUUUGUUACAUGGCACAGCUGCUCCUCGCCCUCUAUCUUCAUGAUGGAUCCAUCUUAAUUGGAUCUUAUAGUCUUGGUUCUAUUCGUUCGUCUCCAAAAUCCGCCCUUCUCUUUCUUAUGGUCUGGAAUUGGAACUAAUCAAAUAUGUCCGUUGGCAAAGUAGUGAAUCCAAAAUAAUAGGUAAUGUCACAUAUCAUAAUACAUCUAUUAAUCUUAUUUAUUUGUGCAGGACCUACGAACCGGGACAACCGGGAAGCUGAUUGGUAGAGACCAUAUAGUCGGCCACCUGUUUUAGGCUCAGUACUCCCUAACGAACUUAGAAUAUGGUAACUCCACUCAAGACUCUUCACUAGACGUAGACGAGAGAAGGAGCCAAAGAAGAAACGGAAUCCUUUCUAAGAAUUGAAGAUAAGAGUAUGAAGUCAAAGGAACUACAGCAACCAGAUAAGAGUAUGAAAUACAAGGAGCUACAGCAGGACAGGACGGAAAGAAUAGGAACAAGGAAGGGCUUGCUUCACUUGAGUUCCGAGUUAAGAGUUAGAACAAGCAAGUGGUAGAUCAGCAACAGUAAGGGUAGAAAGAAAGUACAGAUUAUAGGCUACAAAUGAACUAGAGCAGCCAACAAGCCGAGAAGAAGCUAAAGAAGGAGCAAGAUCAACAAACGGUUUAGAAGGAGCAAGAUCAACAACCAACCGGUUUGAAAGAUUGCAGUACAGUCGACGGUGUUGGCGCAGCUGCAAACGAGACAGGAGGACCGCGCGAAGAAUCAAUUCCUUCUGAUGCUAAUACGGUUCGAGCUUGAGUAGAGUAUCUUUCAUCCCAACAAGCAGACAGAGCAAAAGAGAUAGAGAAAAUGAAUGAUUUGUGACAAGAAGAGAAGAGAUGGCCCCUUAUAUACAAGUGAACAGGACUCGGUAUAUUAAUUAGUAGCGGUAACUAAUAACUGGCUUCUGAAGCACUAACUGAGCUGAGUUGAGUAAAAAGAGCAUAAGUUGCAGUCUUGUUCGAGGUUUUGAAGCGAAGCGUUAACGGGAGUGAGCUUACCUUAGUUGUCGUAUAUAGAAUAGAAUGAGUGGACCUACUUACUAUAGAAUGAGCGGACCUACUUACUGCAAAGCAAUGUUACAUUUUCUGAGUGACCCCGAGACUAGAAAGAAGCCUUAAGAAGCGGUUUGCCCAGCCCUAUCAAUUGGUUUUUCUCUUCAUGUGCCCUCUUCAACCCUUUCAUAAUGCAAUUGCAAGCAGUACUCUAAGCUUAUACUAUUCGAUUCCAUAAAAGAGCCUACUCUAAGCAGCAUCAGCUAAGAUCAAAUCGUCUGUUGUGCCCGGUCUGUUGCGGGCUAUCAUUCGUAUCUUCAUUGGUAGUUAAGUUACUUGCAUAAACAGGAAAGUCAGAAGUCCCCUAUUCUGGAACACCCUACUUUAUUCAUUUACGAUUACCCUUAUUUUUGUCCUUACCUGCAAACUUCUCAUUUGAGAGAGCGUAAAUAAAGUCCUCUGCCUGCUGUAAGGCCCAAGCAAGGAAAGAAGGGCGGGAGACUCAAAAAGAUGGGUUAGCGAGGCGGGACGAAAGGUUUGAAUUGAUUGAGAAGGACUUGGCCCUAUCGUCAAUCGCCGGUCAAUAUUCUUUCUUUCUACUAUACUAGUUAUCCAAUAAGAGGAAUCGGGGACGGCACUUAGUUUUGACAUUCUUUCUUCGUUGGUACCCCAGAACAAUAGUCAGUAGUCAGGUAUAGCCAGUAGUUGGCCUUAAGCCUAGCAGUGUUACGGAAUCGUGUUCAGGCUCUUAGCACCUUUCUGUAAAUAUCAAGUCUGAAUGUACUUAUCUCUAAGAGAAUGGCUUGCCCCCACAUGUUUUAGAUCUAGAAUCGAAGAGUCAACCCUCGGAUGCCGGUCUUUCACUCCGUGAAGGCUUUACAGAGAACUAGGCUUUUAGCUUCAUUGGAUAAAGGCAGAGAUCACACUGGUUUGUAAUUGCUUUCUUUGGCUGUCACUUCAUUCAUCCGUGAUACCGAAGGCCUUUUCAAAAGCAUCUUUUGAUCCUGUUUUCUCUGCUUUAGGGUAAUCAAACUGUCCCAGAGCAGAAUAAAUGGCAACUAUACUAGUGAGUCAUUUCGUACUUAUGUCGUUGGGGAGCGGAAAUGGCACAGCAAGAAGAAAGAACAACCGAAAGUCUUCGACUUACCUCUAGCAUUUUCUUCUGUAGCUAAUACAACUGAUGUUGCUUCAUCUCCUUUCCCAUCCGCCCGGGGAACCGAGUCCUCUUUAGUUAUUAAUGAAUUGGCUGCUUCAGAGGAUACCACUUAUGUAACUGACUCAGUAGAUGGACGAGACCAACCUCUUUCACCGAGCCGAAAAGUCUGCGUUGCCAGCUGCUUGUUGAAUUCUAUUACAAGGCUCGCACCGCCCUAACCCGAACUCUCUAGGGAACUCUCCUUUCAGAACCGCUCACUCCAAAGCGAACUGCUUACUCUCCACUUUAAUAAUUCGCUAAUGUAGCUCACCUUCUUUUUUGAAUGGAAUCUCUCUCUUUCGCCUGUUCCAACAUUUUCUACCGCAUACCUUCCCUUUUGCUGACCUCUACUUUCCGUUGAAGUUCCUUUCCUUCUACUGAUCUUGAUUCUGAUCUAUCUUUAUGGUCUUGCUUCCCCACCUUCUCUUACAUCUUCUGGGCUUCCAUCGUAGACUUCACUGUCAACCUUUCUUUGGACCACUACUGGGGGCUCAGUAUACCCAACAAGAGCUCAGUAAGCGAGAUCACCUUUUGCCGAACAAUCUCUUUCUUUCAACUGAGUCUGAUCCUAGAACGAGAACACUCAAUGAGUUCUUAAAGCUAUGCAAUGGUUGGUUCCUUUUGAUUCUAUAUAUGUGUGUGAGUGAGAUUCAACAAGCAACUCAUACUUAAUUAACGCCUUAGGAAUGAUUUCUUUUCUUUUGCGUUUCGCACCCAGGCGCUAAGACUUAUUCGUUAGUGGUGAUUUGUAUCGUUAGUAGUGAUUUUGAGUUUCGCAGUGUUUUGUUACUUUUAUUAUAUCACAUAUGCCAUAUAUGCUAAAUAAAGAGGCAUGUAUGCUUUCCUUUUUCCCCUAAUGCCAUAUAGGCUCAAAAGACAGAGGUUGGCCCACCAAGUAGUUUCGUUUUAGAAGCAAAGCAGUGUUUUUGACUCUUUCUUCCAUAAGGACCAGAACCAGAAGAUCCAUUCUACCUAGCAUAAGAUCCAUUCUAUCUAGCGCCAUCAGCCAAUCUGUCAAGCGCCAUUAGCCAAUCUGUCAGCCGAACCUCCUCUCGCCCUUACUUAUUAAUAUUAAGGCUUUCUUAUGAGACCCCUAUUGCUACUGUACCUCUGGCUCAUCUAACUACAUUUCUUUGAUACCGGAAUGAGGCUCCUCUACCUCCUUAUUCUUCCCUUAGCUUAGCUCCGGUAGGCAUGAGAACUGAAUAAGUCCUGUAUUAAGGGUUGGUUAGUGACUUUUUCUUUCUAUUACACGCCUCCCCUUCCCUUAAUGUUACUUCAAUGAGUGAACCACUCCCCUCGACCUAGACCACUCCUGUUUCUAUUAGUCUCGACCUAGACCACUCCUGUUUCUAUUAGUAAAGUAACCUAACUCUGAUACUAAGAUACAAACUGAACUCUUGAACUCCCUAGUAAUUCACUCCUCUUUCUUGCCAGUUACCAGAGGUGGAUGAUAAAGCUGCUUGUUCAAUAAGGUAUAAAAGAAGAAAUCUACUAUCUGAUUUCCCCAACUCGUAAACUAGGUAUUCCACGGGAGCAGGUAUAGUUAGAUUAAGGGGGAGGAGUUACAGAGUUACCGACAAAAGUGAAGUUAAAGAAACCUAUCGAAAUUCCAUCUUAUAUAAUAAAGAUCCAAGAUUUCACUCAUAAGAUAGAUAGAAAGUUGGAAUGUAGGGAAUUGUCCUUCCCGAGCCAAGAAAUGUAGGGAAUUGUCCUUCCCGAGCCAAGAGUAGUUAACCAGUCUCUUUGAAACCAACCCGUAGUACUGUUAUAAUACCUAUUGCUCUACUUUCUUUCUUUCUUGAUAGGCCUAGUUGCUAAGGAGCUUUCUGAACCUGAACCAAUUGUUGUUGCUCUGAACCAGAACCACUUGUUGCUGACUGACCUCUAUCUCUUGCCAAUCAAUACUAACCUCACUCCGGAGUGUAGCCCCGGGCUUCCCUUAUCUUUAUUAUCCUGCACCACCAGCAUCUUACUUAAACAAACCCUUCAACUACUCCUGUGAAGAAUAGCUUCCCGCUUCAAAGCCUGUACUUUAGAACCUAUAUCUCCACCACUACAUUAAGGGGCAAGCAAGAACAAAGAGCAAUGGAAUCCCUAGUUUCAUCCGGUAUCGGUCAUCCUAUAUAUAGAGAAAUACUGAAUUUAGUAGUUUCAUAGUAGGGACCAAGCAACUAGGCAUGUAACUUAUAAUGUGCAGCGUCAGUGAACUCGUUACGCGUUAGUGUGAGAGGCGUGGAAGGGAGCUCCAAAGUAGUUGAGGUAGUUGUGGCCUGGCCCAGUUAGAAGAAGUAGAGUGCCCCUCCUAGUAGAAGAAGUAGAGUGCCCCUCCUAGCCCGAGGUAUUAUAUAAGAGAGUAGCCCGCAGUAUUCUUUAUUUCUUGAUUUCUGUAUGUCUUUCUUUAUAGCCAUAGCCUCUACUACCCGAGUAUUGGAAUAAAAUCACAAACACUAAAAUAACUAGAAGAAAGGAGAAACUAGAAGUUAGAAACUACAAGCAAGUGAGAAACUACCAAGUAUGAGUUAUUACAUGUUAUGUAAAGUCCUGUAUUCAUCUCGUAUACUGCCUCAGUAGACACUAAGUAUCAAAAAAGCCAUAUCAAAAUAGAUGUUAUUAUUAAGGAUAAAGUAACUACGAAACUACUAGUUGAAGGGCGAAUACAGAAACACUCAGGAUUCACAGACAGGACUUGGGACAAGUGAUCUUAGCGCUACCCAUAUUGUUAGAAAGCAAGAUAGGUCUCCCCCCUCGUAUUUGCUUGUCUCAGUAAGUUAAGUAAAAGCUCCAGCACCCAUACCCCGUAAGUCAAGAUAGGCUGUUUAUGACUCUUGAGAGCGGAUUCCCUAGUUUCAUUAGUUAUCCUUUAGAAAUAUCAGAUAUAAUUAGUAGGGGCCCAGCAACAAACUACUAGGUUUCAUCCAUUGUUUCAUCGACAAGUCUUGUUCGUUCGGUCAGGUCAACAUUGUCUCCCGCGCCUCCCUAUAACUACUUAUCUAGCCUAUCAUAGUUACCGCAAGACCUAUUUUUGCUUCUUGAAAUCCUGUGUUCGCCUGUUCGUGGGAGUAUAGAGCUUAACUGUAGUAGUGAGUUCAAAAGGAUACUUAUUUGCGUCUAGGGUGGAAUCUGUCUUUUAUACUUUCUAAAGAGAAUAUAUCAUAGAUAAGAAAUAGUAUAAUAGAAGGAAUGCCCUAAUACAUAAUUGCUAGUGAGCUGGCGGUUAGACGCACCCCCAAGAGAUUAUCAACUUGCUUCCUUCCUUGCCUGUAAGAUAGUCUGCCCCCUUAAGGCUCGUAAACUUGCUUCCUUGCCUGUAAACUUGCUUUCUUUCCUGUAAGAUAGUCUGCCCCCUUAAGGCUCUUCUAAUGCUUUGAUGCCUAGAAUCUGGACUUUGGAACUCCCUUUAUGGGCCGAGUCCACCAGUCAUUUCUCUUAGUAAGCGCCUCUUGUCAAACAUUCCAAUUCAACAACUAUCCCUUUUGCACUAGGAAUGAACUAUCCCUUUAGCACUAGGAAUUGAAGAAAGGAUACUCGAACACUACAAGCAAGAUUCGGGUUUCAAAUGAACUAGAACAGCCAGUAAGUACCAACAUAGGCUUGCCUAGUAGCUUGGCAGACUUGGAGUUGCCGAUCCACCUGUUGCUUCAACUCAAUUCUGAGUGUUUCCCAUAAGGCUAGGGACUCAUACUAGGCUAUUAUUACUUAUCUCGGAGAGCAAGGUGCUGAAAGCCUUAUACUUGUUUGUUUCAUUCUGACUUUAGAGUGGAGUGGAGAGCGCAUGGUUAGUUCCCUGAAUCUUAUUAUACCCGGAGAACUCUUCUGUUUCAGGACUUAGCGCAGAAGCCUGAAAAGCCACAGCAUCCCGAUAACUAUAACCAUCUUGACAAUCUGAUACAGCAAUAGCACAACUACUCCUGUUAGCGCAAAUCAUUCCACAACUUUGACUUUUGCCACUUAUACUGGGCCACUCAUCCUUCUCCCUAACCUUAUCCAGCAGCAGUUUUGGCCUCUUCUGAGCUUAAGCAAGAUCCUUAUACCUGCUUUAUACCCGGAUUCGGCAUCUUAUCUUUCCACUGAACAAGCAACUUCAAGUAAUAACACACGACAGCAUCAUUUCCUGACUUUUCAUCUUAUCUUUCCACUCGUAUAAAGUACUUCGCCCCCUUACUUAAUACUUCACUUCUUCUGUAGCAGCUGAUCAGGAUACGGCUUCUGGAACAAUACUUUAUCAAGCUUAUGAUCUUGGGGCGGGAUACUCCACUCUUAUAGCCUCAGAUCUUUCUUACCUUUGUUUAGCACUUGGUAUAUAAGGAAGUAAAUACACAGCUUCUUUACUAUUUCAUCUCUUAUUUCUUCUUGGAAAACGGACCAAGUAACUACAGGAUGUUGAAUAAGUUCCUCUGCUCCGAGUAAAUGGAUUGUUCCGCUGGAGCUCAAAGUAGUGUAGUUAGAAAGUGAGCUAAAGAAUUGCCUGUUCUAAAGUAAGCAGCAUAAAGUCCCUGGCCAAGUAAUUACAGGAAAUUAUUUGCAUGGAGUCUAUUACACCCCCUAGGAAAAGAAUAAAGCAAGUAAGACGAACACUAGCGGCCCUUUAGCCAUGAAUGAGGGAAGGGCGGUCUACUUCAUACGAGAUAGGUGCUUCUUCUCUACGAGUUCGACAGAAUUGAAUUGAGUGUUCCCUAUGAUAGAAAGAAGUCAAAAAAACAAGAAACUCAGGAACUAAGAUAGGGGAUAGUGUUUCGGCCACUCUAAAAGGGAGGGCUUCUGGGAAUCUCCAACUUGUUCAUGCGAACUAUCAUUUCGUUAGCGAGUUCAUUGUCAUCGGCGUUAUGGAGUUCGACAGAAUCGUCUUUUCACAGCCGGACUUGCAUUAUAUGCUAUAUAUACCAAAGACGUUGCUUGUUGAAGAGAAUUGCCUGUGUAACGGAGCUUUGGAAGAAUAUACUGGUUCCAAAAGCGGUAAGCAGUGCUUGUCAAGUCAACUAUACUAAAGAAUGAGCUGUACUUGAAAGUCCAGAGGUGCUGUGCUUGUCAAGUUAACUAUACUAAAGAAUUAGCUGUGCUUGUAAAGUGUAGUUCUGGUAAAGAAUAAAGUCAUGGUAUUUCUAAGUUGAAAGCAUUUAUUCACAGAAAGGAUAGGUCGGAUGCUAGGAAGGUAGAGUGAGUUCAGAUAGCCUACCGAUCUGAGUCUGUUAAGGGAGUAAGUGUAGCUAAGGCUUCUAGUUGUUGACAGUUAAAAAACACAUAGCGCCAAGCAACAUAGAAGUUCUAAUGAGUUAUUCCUGAGUCCUAUACAAGGCCUACGGGACGGGAAGGGAGUUCCUGUCUUAUAGAACAUAGAACAUCAGUGAAGAAAUGAAGUUAGAACAUCAGUGAAGAAAUUCUGUCUGUCUUUGUUUACUUCGGAUCAACUGUCUUUACAGCGCGGUGUACUGAUCAUACGAGCGAGUGUAGUUCCUUCGACGAGAAAUAAGUGUUCUUCAGACAACACCGAUAAUUGCCCAACUUCAUUUCAUAAUAAUACUCUAAGUCCUUCAUACUCGUUUCUUUCUGCUCUUGUUGAAUCAAGAGUAAGCUGAGUCAGCGCAGUGUUCUUUCUCCUGCUUUACUUCAGAAUGGAAGAUGUUGCACGUAAACAUAGUGUCCCGCUGUAGCUUCAAGUGGUAGAAAUAGGUUCCAGUGUUGGUAUCUAUAAGCUCAUCUAUCUCUUUUCUCUGACCAAAUGACAUGAGAAAAGGCCCGCUCUCUCAAGCAGAACAGGUGAGGUGGUGCGUUAAGCAUGCAGUAAACAGAACAAGCAAGGUGCUAAGAGCCAAGGCCAUAAUUGAGUACUUUUGUAUAGGGUUCGGCUGUCAACUGCCUAUGGAGAUGAUUUUCGUAAACCAGCAAGGGAACCAUCCAGAUUAGAUGCUUGAGACGGCGCUAAUAGAGUGGUAGUUCAGUUAAGGGAAAAAGUGAGUCGUGGAGAAUGGAGUUUCACAGUGACAGUUCUUGUUGUUGUCGACGAGAUAAGAUUCGAAAGUGGAGUUUGAGUGUUGUCUAGGUUCGGUGCUAGUUUCAUCGCAAGUCCUGUGUUCGGAAACUAGAAGUAAAACACCAGACUCUAAUAGGCAUUUCAAAGGGUAAGGCAAAGAGGGCUUUUGGAACUAAACUACUGAGAGCUAGACACUAACACCACAAUAAACUCUCUAUACCGACCCUAACUCUACUACUCUUAACAACAAGCAAACUGUCAAAUAGCCAGCCCAUUCUCUAAGUUGAACCCAUGUGUAACGUUACUUAUGAUUACCUAUGUUGCCUUCGUUACGCCUCUUGACUCUUGAAAUGCAUUUCUUCCUAAUAUACGGAAUUAGUUUGCUUUGCGCUGGUCCUACUGGUCCUAUAAGAUUCUUCUUUGCGCUUUGAGGUCGAGAGAUAGAUUCUUUGAGUGCAAGGCCAGAUAUCUUCUUUGAUUGGAAAUUGAAUGCAAGGUUGACCUUCUAACGCGUUGUAUUAGUUUACACUGGCCCAACCAACCCUAGAGAUCGAAUACCAGACUGCACACGCACGGCCUCACAGCUUGUUGAAAGCUUCUAACACGAGUUCUCUUAGCAGGGGUUUCAAUGGAUUUCUAUGUUACUUUAUACUUGGAAUCGCAACGAGAUAACUGAACUUAGAAUUAGGGUAAGGGACUGAGCAUCAUAAGGCAAUGCAAUUCAAGUCCAAGGCAAGCAGAGGUGCUAAGAGCCUAUUUCUACGACAAGGGAAGGCGGCACAAACACCUAUUCUUCUAGAAUGACCAAUUAGCCCUACUCUUUAUACUGAUCUCUACUCUUAACCUCGAAGAUAAAUACAAUCCUAUUUCCCUUUGGAACAGGCAAUUCUCUUAAAGUCGACUAAACAGCGGAUUCUGUUACUUCCUACCCCCAAAACCGUAUAAGAUCAUCUCUGGAUGUGGUAGGUAAGACCUCUUGCACACCUUACGAAAGCUGGAAUAUAUUAGUGCUUGUUACUAAGUUAGUUCAUAAGAUAUUCUUUUCUGGCCUUUCUUUCUUAACUCCCUUAACUGACAGAGACCUGAACAAAUACUACUUAAAGCUAUCAACUGUCCUAAGAAUUCAUUUCGAAUCUAUCUAUAGCAGAAGCAUAGGAUCUAUCUAAUGGCAGGAAUAGAAUCCAUCGAGCGCUCAGCUCCCCUAUACAAUAAGGCAGCCAAUAACUUAUCUUGCAACUUACACUCAAACGGAUCCUGAUAAGACUACGACGGAAGAUGAUUAUUCUAGAACAGGUCGAGUACACCGCGCUCUCUGUACCCGAUUAUGAGUGGAAGGCUUGAACUUCAUCUUGAGAGUCGACCAACACAAACGGAAUGAAUUGACUUAACGGCAACACCCCUUCCUACCCAAUUCAAGUAGAUAUGAAACCCCUCCACUCCACCUUUACCGCGGGCAUGGGCUGCAUACUUUUCUCUUAUCUUAUAGGGCGCACCGGACAAGCAAGAAAUGGAGUGACCAACAAGAGCUACGGUUUAUACCCCCAAUAUGGACUUGAGAUUGACAGCCGGCUCUGCUCUAUCUGUUGACUCUAAUGCUAUAUGCGCAUCCCGUACUCCACCAGCUCCUGCAGAAGAUCUUGAUUCUUAUCCCGUUCCUUAUUCGGCAUCUUAUCCUGCUGGUGCUUAUGAUCCUGGAAGUUCAUCAUUUCUUUGAAUCUCCUCUUGAGCACUUGACUUGUUUCUUGCUUCAGUACUAAGAGCUCCAAUCAACAUAAUGACCUACUGGGGAAACGGAAAACUCUAGGAAUUGACACUCUGUUAGCGAUGUAAAGAGAGACUUGUAGGGCAAAUCCACACAAUGAAUGAAAUCUAUCGAGCAAUAAAAUCAAUUGACCUAGAAACAGCUAGCGCACUUGUUCUUGCCCGAACUGAACUCCCUAGGCUUGUUCGUCUUCUUAGGUCUGGACCUGGCAAUACUUAAUGCUUAAGCUUCAAACAGUCAUCUUUCGAGCGGUCAACUCGCUAAUGCCGAUAAAACAGGAACAGGACAUUCUCCACUUCACCUUGCCUCCUUGUAAGUAAUAUAUGAUUCCCCGACCCGAACUCUAUUAACCGGCAGACAAUGCUCUUGCCCGAACUCUAAUAGACUUGACUUAUCCUCUAAAUUGAAAGAUUCCUUUGUCGACUCAACUUGACUUACCGCGACAACACCUAGAUCAUAUAGAGAUGUGGAAUCAGACCUCUUUUGAUACCUAAUUGCUGCUUACUUUAGUCUUGCUGCUGCCUUUCCUUACUCAACUGACAAAAAAAGAUAUUAUACACAAGGAGUUAGAAAACUUGACUUGCACAGGACAACGACUAAGCUCUUGAGCACCAGAUAUAGAGUGAAGUAAAUACUGUGCUUCCCUUGACUCAACACUUGAAGAAUAUGAUAUUUAUUGAGGAUUACCCCAGUUAUAUACUCUCAAAGUCAGGGAACAGAAGGUAUAGCCCUUUGGUUUUGCUAAGUUGAAGUCAUGUUCAAGGGCUGUCCUCGUAUAUGUCUUCUCCCAUCAGUUCAAUUAGCUUCACCGUUUUCCUCAGUGCUGGAAAGAUCCGUAUUUGUGUUUGACCACUUCAUAAUUGUCAGGUAAAGUUGAAGAGGCAAGCAGACGAAUGUUAAUAAGUGCAAGCAACGUAGACAAAAACUGCCCUUUUGAGUUCUAUAGCGGGUGUGAGGUAUCGAUUCUAAGCCGGGUGUUACUUAUCGAAAUUCCAUUCAACAAUCAAUGGAACGGAACCAGCAACUUCACCUUGUAGUUACGUUCGAGCAGAAGACAUAAUAUCAUCAGCAGGAGCAGGUGCAGAAGUAAGAGUUGUUGACUACCCUACGGCGCUAACAGGAGUAGUUGACAGAUAUUUAUCAUCAACAAAGAAGGAUUCCACUCGCCCAGCAACGUCCUGUUUUUGUCUUUCUCGCCUACCAUGUGCUCUUUCUCCAAAGUAAUCAUUUCUGAAUUGAGUUUUUCUAAGGAAUAUAAGAAUGGAGGGUGAAGUUACCCUUAAAAUCACUGGGGGUAGGUACUGUUAAAGCCAACAUGGUUGAAAUAGACUCUAGAAGGCGUAUGUUAUGCAUUCGCGAAGCUUGGGAAAAGGAGGAAGAUGGAGUAAGAGAAUAACCUAUGUGUUCAGCAAGAAAACCAAAGAAAGGGGUUGGACCACACCAACUUAUAAGAAGUGGUCUUAUACUCUGAAUCACUAAUACUAUCCAUUCGCAGAUGAAGUGAAGCAACAAGAGAAGUUCCAGAGUGCUUUUCCUGAAUUCGAGUCACUUUAUGAAACCUCUUAUACCUCUUAUACCUCUUAUACCUAGUAUACCUCUUAUACCUAGUAUACUAUAUCUCUGCAAUCAUUUCAUUAUAUCUCUGCAAUCAUUUCAUUCAAGUUAGACAGCUUUCAAAGGCUAGAAGGGAGAAUAGUGCCCUUUGAAAGGAAGAGAAUGCCGAUACUUUUGAACAAUCUCCCAUCGGAAAAUAUGAUAAUAUCUUAUUAGCUUAUUAUCAGAGGACCUGACAAUUGCCCUCUGGAGCUAUCACGGCUACCUAAUAACCCACCCUACUAGUUCUUCUGGAUGAGUUCAAUCGCAAUGUAGCAUGGCUUUGCUUGCCGCGCUUCAACAGAUUGAACUUAGCAGUUUCUUUCACAAGUAGUUCUCAGUCUCGCCUGUGAUGCGUUUGCUUUGCUUACAUGGUUUUUCCCUGGACUGAUUGGAAAAAACAAGUUGGAUUGGUCCCUGCCGCUUUCUCUGGGCGGGCUGAGUCUAGUUGCUUCCGCCUGUUCGAUGGAAGUUUUCGUUCUGACUUCGCCGAGUCCAUCUCCAUUGAAAUCUCUCGCCCUCGUGAUAUCUCUAGGAGGAAAAGAAUCGGCCUACUAUGCUCUCCCCCAUCUAAGCUUUUGAGGGCAACGGGUGGGGAGGCUAGAGGCUCGCUGAAGGUACUUCUGUCUCUCUUGGCCGGCCUAUGAUUGUCCAGUCAGCCUUCUUUCUUUCCUUAAGAGUGAAUGGCCCUCUUGACUACUCCAUCUCUGUUUUGGAAUUUCAUGGGAUGUGUUGAAUAAGUGAAAAAAGGGACUACUUUACCAUCGCAUCGGGAGAGUACCAGGAAAGGGUUCAGGAGGAACCUUAUCUCAUCACAUCGGGAGAGUACCAGGAAAGGGUUCAGGAGGAACCUUAUCUCAUUGAUUCUUUCUCCUCCAAUUCCCCCCGGGAAAGCAAGCCCUAUGAAACCUCUAUUCCAUCAAGCAAACCCCGAACAGCAGGUAUGAGCCCUUAGAUUCUCGGAGUUCUAACCUCGAUUAUAUUCGAAAAUCACUGCCCUUGGCCAAAGACAGACAUCUAGAUCAUAGGAAGAAUCGCCCCAACGCAAAAGACAGAGGAAAAGCAAUAUCUAAAAGAACAUCACUGACGCAAUUGGAAGAUCCGCCUUGGCAGCAGCUAUUCUUCCUUCGUAGACAAAAGAGAUUGAAUACAAGGAAUCCUCUGUUUAGGCUUAACUACAGGAAUCAAACCUAGAAAAGCGAAGGGCAUAGGUCCACUCUUCCUACAUUGAUAGACCUCUUAUCUAUUGAAUAAGAAAUUCACAUCUAUUUGUAUUUCUUUUGAGGAAGAUGAUAAAGAGACUUAUUACCUGGUCCACUAGUACACCGUAGUUAUUCGAAUUUCUCGCGGUGGUGGUUUCCUCAUAAACCCUCAGCUAUAGAUCCAUGGACGUCUCCAUUCAUUUACCUUCUCCUCCACUCGAGGACAACCAAAUCCUCAUCAGUCCUUUUGAUGCGUUCGAAAGAAAGUAGAGGAAAGAUAAGAGUGACCAUUGAAAGAAGAAAAGAUGUUACCGACACAGAAAGAAGAAAAGAUGUUACCGACACUGGGAGUAUAGCUCCUAUGUUCCGACCAGAGGAAAAAACGAACAUGGCUUUCCUCCAUAUACCUAGGAAAAAACGAACAUGGCUUUCCUCCAUAUACCUAUUAAGAAGGAGAAUGUCUUUUAACGAUAAUUGCCUGCUUUACAGAUUGACGGAUAAGGCGGGAACUCCUUUUCUUCUUGAAAGCAAGUAAGUCCUAGCCUAGUUAGCCUGUCUCGGUCUCAUGGAAAGGGAAAGCUCAAAUAAAUAAGUAUAGAAGCUGGUCUUGAAUAAUUGCUCCGCUAGAAUCAAGAGAACACUUUUGAUAUACGACAACAUGAUUUACUGUAAAACAAUCCAUCCGUUUUCUCCACACAUUGGGCAUUGGUUACAUAACAUAAGGGACCGUUAUCUUGCUGAAGAUUGACUUACCUUUAAAAGCGAAAGUCAGAUGGAAUGAAUGACGCUCCGCUCGCCCCUACUAUUGUGACAUCGACCCUCUCUCUCGCUUAACUAUGUCCCCGCUUCUAUAGUAUUACUUAUCAACUAUAUGUGCCACAGUUAUCCAGACAUUUGUGAUGGUGGUUGUCAUGUCAAUCAGAGGCAGCGCUAACUCCGAUUUCAUAGUUUGCACGAUAUGUAUGCAGACCCUCGUCUACCUUAUUCAACCUAUUCCCCACCAACUAAAGCACAUUACUCACUUACCUCACAAAUCAUGGUGAUUCCGCCUACCCUUUCACUACCUUUGAACUAGUAAGAUUGGCCAAUAACUCCCCUUUCUAUUGUUUUAGCUUAUCAUCCACAGUCUUGUAUAACAGGGCUUUGUCUUCGGUAGUCUAGUGUGUGUAUCUCGCUUCACUCCUCUUGUGAUAGGCAGUAAGAUGAUGGAUGUUAGAAUUGUAUCUCUGCUAAUGGUCUCUCGUAUGAUAAUUGUAUCUCUGCUAAUGGUCUCUCGUAUACAGAAAGAGGUAUGCUGGAUGAAAUGAUGUAUAGUCAAUUCGGGUCCGGAAUUGAUUUAUGUUAGGUAAACAAAUGGAUGGAUAUACUUAAUGUCGCCACGGCACCUUCUUCUUUUCUGUGCGCUAGUUUUCAAUAGGUCGGAAAAGUGGGAAGAAAGCCUUUCAUACAGAAGUGGUGCUGGUCCUAGGACGUGGGGCUCAACUCCGGAAGUAGAACCCCCUCCACAAUCCAUUUCCUAAAGUAUGUAUAAACCUUCUGCACCCAAGGCAUGCCCCAGAGUUCCCCCUCUUUCUUUUUUCAAAGUUCAAUAGUUUAGUUUAGGUUAUGCUUGGUCUUUUGGUAUAUACUCCAAUUCCGCUAUCAUAACUAAGCUCUAAUUCUUUGCUUGCCAAGCAAGGUGGUCAAUAGUUCUUUCUAGUUUGGUAGUGAUAGUUCGCCAAGCUACUACUUUCAAUAGAAAUGGAAGGAGGUGAUUCUGUUGUCUCAGUAUACUUUCCAAUUCUAUAUGUAUGUGCUGCAGCUUAUGUUUCUUAUUCCGUUGUGUUAACACGCUUGCGGAUUCUCUUCUUUGAAGAUUCAUCUACUCUCUAUACUUGGACACAUGCGAUUUGUGCACCGCUCUAUCCCUAUUUCAAAUAACUGAAUGGAGUAUAUGCUUGGUUAGGAGCUUUGAUACUCUUUUCUUUCCUUCCUAACAGACACAGAGACGUAAUUCUUUCAGUCCCGAAAAAGGCCCAGGCGAAAGAAGAGGCCAAGAACAGAACUCCAUGAAGACUCAAACCACUCCCCUGCAUAUAAGUAAUCAAUGAUAUAAGUAAUAAAUGAUAUAAGUAAUAAAUGAGAAAUGAUAUCAGAUCAACGAAGAAAGAGUCCGGAUUAUGUAUUUGAGCGAAGAAAGAGUCCGGAUUAUGUAUUUGAGCCUAAGAACAUAGACCUGUUCGGUAUUCACUCGACACUACUACAUAUCGGCACCAACAUCUACUCACUUCUUGACUGCCCCUUUACCCUUACCCGAUCCCAUGCCCAUGCCUAGCGAUCUAAGCCCGAAAGCAUAGAAUGACUUUUCGAAUUGAUCCAUAUAUUACUCGAUUGCAUGGAAUGACUUUUCUUAUCUAUCUAUAUAUUAACCGAUAGCAAGACAAGCCCUGGAUCCCAAUCCAAUUCCUCUCUCCUGGCAGCAAAGAAAGAAGGGGAGAUCCCCGCUAUCUAUCUACUGGUCACUUAUCCACUGGUCACUUUACUGGCUCAUAACUCGAGCAGUUGCUUGGCCAGACUUAUGCUUAUCCGCCAGGUGGUAACGGGACUACCCUCCUUAUCCUUUGCGGGGUCUACUUCCUUUGUUAUCCCUACCUAUACAUCUUUCCUUUCCCGCGUCGGGGAUGCCGGAAGCAAACACUUUGGAUCUUGUUUAUUUCAUAUUAAUAGUUCGCUCAGUAAAUCCUUCGUUGAAGCAACGGCUUACUCGCAAGAGGAGGCAUAGACUGUGGUGGCUUAUCGAGCAGCUCCACCAGUGCCAUCUAUUACACAGCAGCGGUGAAGCUAGCAGCAGAUACUUUAUGCAUUCCGGGAGAAAGAAAGCAAGUGGUCCCAAGAGCGGAUUUGAGUGCUGGAACUAGUUGUGCUCCUACUCAUACUGGGCCAAAGGACGGGGAUUCAAAUGACAAGAAUAGUGCCCAGCUACAUCAACGGUUCGAAAUCAGUUACUUGUAACAAAUCCAGACAAAGAAGUUGAUCCUUUAGAUUCUAUUGAUCCCCCGGUGAUCCAGUCCCUAUUUAGCAGAGUAGACCGAGGUCGGAAUGGGAUCGGGUCUUUUCACGUCUCACCGUAGUGCCCGUCUUUAUGAACAUAUUGGAUGACUCUGGCUACGUGUCCUUCCUUCCUGCCCUCAGAGCUGAUUCGACGGGAUGCCUAAGAGCAACGAAUUCUUCUUUCCUGAAAGAGCCUAUUCGAGAACAGUAAGAGCAGAUUCGAGGGCAUCAAUUCAUGGUUUCCUCUUCUUUGACUAUUAUACCUACCCAUGGGAACUGUGAACAACCGAUUCUUACACCUCAUCUGCACCUCAAAACAGGGCAUUAUCGAGCAGCUCCUUCUGUAACAGCAGCAGUUGAUUCAAUAGCAACGGAGUCAGUAACGGCGGAUUCUAGCACAACAACCUAUUCUAUAACAAGAAGAGCGGAUACGUCGUUCUUUCAAAGAGCGCUUAUUCCCCUUCAUGUAAAGCCUAUUCUCCUAACAUAAAGCAAAAAGGGAUUCAGGCUCAAGGCACUUUUGGACUCUAUUCCUUCUAAGGAGAGUGAAGAAUCAAUCCAUUGCUUUAAAUACGAAUAGUGGGCGUAUAUUUUCCAGUUACAGAAAGACGUAUAGUUUUAGGGGAAAGGAUAACCAUAGAACCGUUUUGAAAAUGGAUCAGUUGACCCGGUAUACGAAUUCAUUCUAACUAUCAACAAAUUGUGGCUCAAUGGGGAUUGUCAUUCUUUCUACUUUUUCCUUAAUUAAGUCCUAAGUUCUUCAGUAGCUCAGUGGUAGAGCGGUCGGCUGUUAACUGACUGGUCGUAGGUUCGAAUCCUACUUGGGGAGAUUGGAUUCAUGAUUUCUAGGUUAAUGAAGAAUAGAGUGAAAAGGAAGGAAGGGCUCGGACCGUUAGGAGUAUCCGUUCGCUGUCCUUGUUUCUAUUGCAUUCUAUAUCUCAUCUACUCACAUUCUGUUCAACGAUAUAUAAGAAUCGCAAUACCUCGGCUCCGAUCCCUUGUAAAUAUCCAAUUCAUCAUUCUUAGAUGAUGUACUAGCAGUGUCUCCUUUUGAUCAUCGAUUUUCCCGAUAGGCCACAAGCGAGCAAACAUAUUAAUGACGAGGAACGAUUGCAAUACAACUAAUACUAUACUUGUGCUCUGUUAUUCUGUCCAAAAGCCUUUGUGCUUGCUAUGCCACUAAUACUUGAGACUUGUGCUUGCUAUGCCACUAAUACUUCACUUGCGAGGAAGGCUUGCUAUGCCACUAAUACAAAUACUUGCUCUGCAAUUCUUCCCUGGCUGAGGAAGAGUUCUGGGGAGUAACAAAUAUGCUGAUUACGGUAUUGGUUACAAGAGUUCUGGGGAGUAACAAAUAUGCUGAUUACGGUAUUGGUUACAAUAUGUAAUGAUCGAAUCUUUCAUGAGAAAUCCAAAUCAGUAGUAAGGCCAUUCCAUUUCGACAAAGAAAGACCAUUGCAAACCAAGUUCAAUAGCUUUGCGUCCGCUAUCCAUUUUCCUACCCACACCCCUGAGGGAAAGGUCCAAACCAAAAGGUCAGAUUGUAGGCGAGGAGGGAUUCGCCAACACCGUAGCCACGUGCUCUAAUCCUCUGAGCAACAGGCCCCACCCCGUCUCCACAGGAGAAGUUCCCGGGAGUACCAUAAUAAAGGAACCUUUCCUAUCCUCUGCCAUUUCGGGUUAAGAAGAUGUAAAAGGCGCCUUUCUCUCCAUUUCUAUCUAUCUAUAAAGAAAGACAUAAAUCUCACAGUGCGUUCCGAGGUGUGAAGUGAUAGAGAAGAUAAGUCAUAAUUCUCGUUUUUCAUAAGACAGACGACCUUGGCAUUUUGGAUUUCUAUCUAUUUCACAUAUUUCCAAUUAUAGAAUAAAUCAAAUAAGGAAAGGUGUUUUGUUACUAUAUUUCUCAGAUGUUGAAUAGAUAUGAUUUCAUUGAUUUUAGUUUAGAGUGUUUUUCAUUAAUUAUAGAAUAAUGCCUGGGUCCCUUACCUUAGAAUCGAAAACACAAGAUUCAUCCCAGUAUGCACGGAGCCAGAAAGGCAACCCCCCUUGAAACCAUGGGAAGCUAUCAUGGAAGAAUUGAACCUCGUUGAAAUAGUUUCUCUUUCUAUUUCCUUACCGUAGGUUAGUAAAGGAAGGCUUACCAUUGUGCAUUAAUCCCUCUUUCCUUUCAAUUCAAAGAAGAUGUUUUCCCAUAGAAACCGUCAUCUCUCUGUGUCCAUCGCUCUUUGUUUGGUUGGUGGAAUGCUCUCACCGAAGGCUUGGGAUAUUUUUGGAAAGCUUUCAUAGCGGGUUAGUGUAUUAGUUGCUACUAAAAUGGAACUAGCUAGCAGCUUAAGUUAGGAAGGAAGUGGCUAGAGCAUCUACCCCGGGUUCAUGAACUUACAGACUUGCUUGGUCAGCUACAUCUUUAUGGUUCUAACAAGCGACGCUUCCCUCUCUUACCACACAAAGCGAUUCGUGCACAUAGUCUCAAUCUAGUAUGUCGAAUACCUAUGACUUCGAAUACAGCCAACAGUAAUGAAGUUAGUAAAGUAGUAGGAAGCUAAAGACAGUUUAAGGCAUUGAGCUAACCAACGACUAAUGACCAAGCCAGGCAAGCAACUACGACUGAACCUUGGAACUACCCUUUCUCAUGGAUACUUUCCUGGAACUGAACCGAACCUUUCUACUAUUCCUGGAGUGGAGACAACACCUCCGAUUCUCCCUCUCUGGUCUACUUUACUCACACAACGGAUUCAGUUGCGAGAAUACACAUUGCAUCCAAGUUCUUAUAAUUACCCGUAUC
Molecule: long non-coding RNA, 39348 nt
Filed under: Musa acuminata (dwarf banana)
Lineage: Eukaryota; Viridiplantae; Streptophyta; Magnoliopsida; Zingiberales; Musaceae
Description: long non-coding RNA (MACU_LNC009722)
Rfam family: tRNA (bases 37321-37392)
Source: RNAcentral